AGAAAUUGUUCUUACGCAAGAGUAAAAGAGACUUAGCAUUUCUAUCGCGAGAAAGUCGAGUAUAAAUGCUAGCCAAAACCGAUACGCGAAACAGGACAGUGCUGGCGUUGCUGAAACGUCUGGAAAAUGUUAGCUUACCAUCCAGCGAAAACAACGUGGAACUCGCAUCAAACCUUUGAUCCGAUUCACUUGGAAUUUUUGGGUCGAAUAUAUCUUCCGGGUUUGGCUGCUGCCAAGAUCAUAAAAAAAACUCACAUUUGACAAUAUACUCCACAAGGACAUAUAUACUUUGCCUUCGUGUCCAAGACCUGAUUAAAUCCAAGCGUCGUUAUGAAAGACUUUGGAGCGAAAGAAGAAAAGACAGGACACUUACGUCGCCGAAGUGAUCGUGUUGUGGUCCACAUACGCUUUAAGUAGGCACAAGGAAGAGAAAGUCCAGCAAACCAUGGAGUUGUCCUUUCAUCU
Molecule: long non-coding RNA, 465 nt
Filed under: Selaginella moellendorffii
Lineage: Eukaryota; Viridiplantae; Streptophyta; Lycopodiopsida; Selaginellales; Selaginellaceae
Description: long non-coding RNA (SMOE_LNC000014)
Source: RNAcentral